Molecule: ribosomal RNA, 2915 nt
Filed under: Vibrio parahaemolyticus
Lineage: Bacteria; Pseudomonadati; Pseudomonadota; Gammaproteobacteria; Vibrionales; Vibrionaceae
Description: 23S ribosomal RNA
Rfam family: Bacterial large subunit ribosomal RNA
Source: RNAcentral
GUUGUAUGGUUAAGUGACUAAGCGUACACGGUGGAUGCCUUGGCAGUCAGAGGCGAUGAAAGACGUAGUAACUUGCGAUAAGCCCAGAUUAGGUAGUAACAACCAUUUGAGUCUGGGAUUUCUGAAUGGGGAAACCCACGUGCAUAAGCACGUAUCCUUACCUGAAUACAUAGGGUAAGGAGGCGAACCGGGGGAACUGAAACAUCUAAGUACCCGAGGAAAAGAAAUCAACCGAGAUUCCGAAAGUAGCGGCGAGCGAAAUUGGACUAGCCCUUAAGCUUUACACGCGUUAGACGAACGGUCUGGAAAGUCCGACGAUACAGGGUGAUAGUCCCGUAGUUGACGACGUGUGUUCAGUGAAAUCGAGUAGGGCGGGACACGUGAUAUCCUGUCUGAAUAUGGGGGGACCAUCCUCCAAGGCUAAAUACUACUGACUGACCGAUAGUGAACCAGUACCGUGAGGGAAAGGCGAAAAGAACCCCUGUGAGGGGAGUGAAAUAGAACCUGAAACCGUGUACGUACAAGCAGUAGGAGCAGGCUUUGUCCUGUGACUGCGUACCUUUUGUAUAAUGGGUCAGCGACUUAUAUUCAGUGGCAAGGUUAACCAUCUAGGGGAGCCGUAGGGAAACCGAGUCUUAACUGGGCGUUCAGUCUCUGGAUAUAGACCCGAAACCAGGUGAUCUAGCCAUGGGCAGGUUGAAGGUUGAGUAACAUCAACUGGAGGACCGAACCGACUAAUGUUGAAAAAUUAGCGGAUGACUUGUGGCUAGGGGUGAAAGGCCAAUCAAACCUGGAGAUAGCUGGUUCUCCCCGAAAGCUAUUUAGGUAGCGCCUCGGACGAAUACUACUGGGGGUAGAGCACUGUUAAGGCUAGGGGGUCAUCCCGACUUACCAACCCUUUGCAAACUCCGAAUACCAGUAAGUACUAUCCGGGAGACACACGGCGGGUGCUAACGUCCGUCGUGGAGAGGGAAACAACCCAGACCGCCAGCUAAGGUCCCAAAUUACUACUAAGUGGGAAACGAUGUGGGAAGGCUCAGACAGCCAGGAUGUUGGCUUAGAAGCAGCCAUCAUUUAAAGAAAGCGUAAUAGCUCACUGGUCGAGUCGGCCUGCGCGGAAGAUGUAACGGGGCUAAGUAGUAAACCGAAGCUGCGGCAAUGUGCUUUUGCACAUUGGGUAGGGGAGCGUUCUGUAAGCGGUUGAAGGUGUGUGGUAACGCAUGCUGGACGUAUCAGAAGUGCGAAUGCUGACAUGAGUAACGAUAAAGGGGGUGAAAAACCUCCUCGCCGGAAGACCAAGGGUUCCUGUCCAACGUUAAUCGGGGCAGGGUAAGUCGACCCCUAAGGCGAGGCCGAAAGGCGUAGUCGAUGGGAAACGGGUUAAUAUUCCCGUACUUCUUACAAUUGCGAUGGGGGGACGGAGAAGGCUAGGUGGGCCUGGCGACGGUUGUCCAGGUUCAAGUGCGUAGGCUUAAGAGUUAGGUAAAUCCGGCUCUUUUUAAGGCUGAGACACGACGUCGAGCACCUACGGGUGUGAAGUCAUUGAUGCCAUGCUUCCAGGAAAAGCCUCUAAGCUUCAGAUUGUAAGGAAUCGUACCCCAAACCGACACAGGUGGUCGGGUAGAGAAUACCAAGGCGCUUGAGAGAACUCGGGUGAAGGAACUAGGCAAAAUGGUACCGUAACUUCGGGAGAAGGUACGCUCUUGAUGGUGAAGUCCCUUGCGGAUGGAGCUGACGAGAGUCGCAGAUACCAGGUGGCUGCAACUGUUUAUUAAAAACACAGCACUGUGCAAAAUCGUAAGAUGACGUAUACGGUGUGACGCCUGCCCGGUGCCGGAAGGUUAAUUGAUGGGGUUAGACUUCGGUCGAAGCUCUUGAUCGAAGCCCCGGUAAACGGCGGCCGUAACUAUAACGGUCCUAAGGUAGCGAAAUUCCUUGUCGGGUAAGUUCCGACCUGCACGAAUGGCGUAAUGAUGGCCACGCUGUCUCCACCCGAGACUCAGUGAAAUUGAAAUCGCUGUGAAGAUGCAGUGUACCCGCGGCUAGACGGAAAGACCCCGUGAACCUUUACUACAGCUUGGCACUGAACAUUGACCCUACAUGUGUAGGAUAGGUGGGAGGCUUUGAAGCACGUACGCCAGUAUGUGUGGAGCCGUCCUUGAAAUACCACCCUUGUAGUGUUGAUGUUCUAACGUCGACCCCUUAUCGGGGUUGCGGACAGUGCCUGGUGGGUAGUUUGACUGGGGCGGUCUCCUCCCAAAGAGUAACGGAGGAGCACGAAGGUGGGCUAAUCACGGUUGGACAUCGUGAGGUUAGUGCAAUGGCAUAAGCCCGCUUGACUGCGAGAAUGACAAUUCGAGCAGGUGCGAAAGCAGGUCAUAGUGAUCCGGUGGUUCUGAAUGGAAGGGCCAUCGCUCAACGGAUAAAAGGUACUCCGGGGAUAACAGGCUGAUACCGCCCAAGAGUUCAUAUCGACGGCGGUGUUUGGCACCUCGAUGUCGGCUCAUCACAUCCUGGGGCUGAAGUCGGUCCCAAGGGUAUGGCUGUUCGCCAUUUAAAGUGGUACGCGAGCUGGGUUUAGAACGUCGUGAGACAGUUCGGUCCCUAUCUGCCGUGGGCGUUGGAAGAUUGAAGGGGGCUGCUCCUAGUACGAGAGGACCGGAGUGGACGAACCUCUGGUGUUCGGGUUGUGUCGCCAGACGCAUUGCCCGGUAGCUAAGUUCGGAAUCGAUAACCGCUGAAAGCAUCUAAGCGGGAAGCGAGCCCUGAGAUGAGUCUUCCCUGAUACUUUAAGUAUCCUAAAGGGUUGUCGGAGACUACGACGUUGAUAGGUCAGGUGUGUAAGUGCUGUGAGGCAUUGAGCUAACUGAUACUAAUUGCCCGUGAGGCUUAACCAUACAACACCCAAGGGGUUU